Molecule: ribosomal RNA, 1134 nt
Filed under: human gut metagenome
Description: bacterial LSU rRNA
Rfam family: Bacterial large subunit ribosomal RNA
Source: RNAcentral
UAGGCCCAGGCGACUGUUUACCAAAAACACAGGUCUCUGCUAAAGCGAAAGCUGAAGUAUAGGGGCUGACGCCUGCCCGGUGCUGGAAGGUUAAGGGGAAUGCUUAGCGCAAGCGAAGGUGUGAACUUAAGCCCCAGUAAACGGCGGCCGUAACUAUAACGGUCCUAAGGUAGCGAAAUUCCUUGUCAGGUAAGUUCUGACCCGCACGAAAGGCGUAACGAUCUGGGCGCUGUCUCAACAAUAGACUCGGUGAAAUUGUAGUACCGGUAAAGAUGCCGGUUACCCGCAGCAGGACGGAAAGACCCCGUGGAGCUUUACUGCAGCUUGAUAUUGGAUUUCGGCAUUGCAUGUACAGGAUAGGUGGGAGACUGCGAACUCAGUACGCCAGUAUUGAGGGAGUCACCGUUGGGAUACCACCCUUGUAAUGUUGAGGUUCUAACUUUGUACCGUGACCCGGUAUGAGGACAGUGUCUGGCGGGCAGUUUGACUGGGGCGGUCGCCUCCUAAAGAGUAACGGAGGCGCCCAAAGGUUCCCUCAGUGCGGACGGAAAUCGCACGAAGAGUGUAAAGGCAGAAGGGAGCUUGACUGCGAGACAAACAGGUCGAGCAGGGACGAAAGUCGGGCUUAGUGAUCCGGUGGUACCGAGUGGAAGGGCCAUCGCUCAACGGAUAAAAGCUACCCCGGGGAUAACAGGCUGAUACCCCCCAAGAGUCCACAUCGACGGGGGUGUUUGGCACCUCGAUGUCGGCUCGUCUCAUCCUGGGGCUGAAGUAGGUCCCAAGGGUUGGGCUGUUCGCCCAUUAAAGAGGUACGCGAGCUGGGUUCAGAACGUCGUGAGACAGUUCGGUCCCUAUCCGCUGUGGGCGUUGGAGAUUUGAGUGGAGCUGUUCUUAGUACGAGAGGACCGGGAUGGACAUACCUCUGGUGCACCAGUUGUUCUGCCAAGGGCAUAGCUGGGUAGCCACGUAUGGAAGGGAUAAGUGCUGAAAGCAUCUAAGUACGAAGCCCCCCACAAGACAAGAUCUCCUCCUUAAAGGUAAGACCCGUGAGAGACUAUCACGUUGAUAGGUCGGAGGUGGAAGUGCAGUAAUGUAUGGAGCUGACCGAUACUAAUAGGUCGAAAACUUGACCAA